Molecule: long non-coding RNA, 212 nt
Filed under: Elaeis guineensis (African oil palm)
Lineage: Eukaryota; Viridiplantae; Streptophyta; Magnoliopsida; Arecales; Arecaceae
Description: long non-coding RNA (EGUI_LNC029367)
Source: RNAcentral
CUCAAGUCCAAUUAUAAUUUCUAUGAAAACUCUUUUCCAUCAAUCACACUACUGUGGUCAAAGAUUCUCGGACUUAGCCACUCAAAUCUCAUAGGACUACUCCUUUCUAUCAAGAUCGAUAGAUCCCAUCUUGAUGCACACACUACUCCUACAGUGGAUCAACUAUCAUCAAUAUCCACUACAAAGGCUCAUUGAGAUCUAUAUUUAUAAGU